Molecule: long non-coding RNA, 21686 nt
Filed under: Homo sapiens (human)
Lineage: Eukaryota; Metazoa; Chordata; Mammalia; Primates; Hominidae
Description: non-protein coding lnc-SNRPN-8:94
Rfam family: Small nucleolar RNA SNORD116 (bases 16374-16465)
Source: RNAcentral
UUCUGUUAUAUAUUGAAAACUUCAGUCUUAAUUUUUUAGUUACAUUGUUGAUAGGGCAUUAUAUAAAUAUACUUCUAUAGUCAUUGUAGGAAAUGUCUUUUAUAAGGAAAUAUUUCUUCUACCUCUGAAUUACACAGUUUUGUAUUUACUUGGACUGCAUGGCAACAUUCAAAAAACACUUUGAAUAACAGAUAAAAAUGACAUUUUCUAAAGCUCUAGGUUUGCUAGAUGCAUGAAGUCUCAGCAAAGUAUAAAUUUGUAAAUAUUUCAUUGUAAAAUAUCAUAAAUUGACUCCUUCAAGUGUUCAGUAGUACAAUAGGUAAUCAAUAAUUGGCCUCUUGGGACUGACUGUAACGUUUUGGUGUUUGUAUGUUUUGAGACAGAGCAAUAGAUUGCCUCCAUAUCUUUUAAACAUUCAGGUCUCUUGUAUAAGAAAAAUAACCAUUGUGGGGUUUUUGUGCAUCUUAUACUAAUAUGAAACAAACAAAACCCCCUGGAUAUUUUAUCCUUAGAAAGAUAGAGGAAGACAGGAGAAGGGAAUGGUCAUUGUAAAUUAGAUAGAUAUAUUGAGUGUUAGAAGAUUAUUUAAAUAAUUGUUCUUUUGUUAUUUGUACUCUUUGCAAAUUUAUUUAAAUGCAUAUUCAUGUAUAUCAUAAGUAUAUAUUCACAUGCAUGUCUAAAUUUAGUGGCAUAGAUCUAUCUCAGGGGUAUUAAUCUUUCAUUCGUGUACUGAUUUGUGUUUUAUUUUCAUUUAAAAAAUUGUGGAACCAGUGGCUGGGCAUGGUGGCUCAUGCCUGUAAUCCCAGCACUUUGGGAGGCUGCCAUUGCACUCCACCCUAGGCAACAAGAGCAAAACUCUGUAUAAAAAAAAAAAUUAAAAAAAUUGUGGAACUAGUGUUUUAUUUCUAAGCUUGCAGAUAUUUCUAGAAUUCCACUUACUGUUACAUCUAAAUGUAUGCUGAUUUUUCGUUAAAUAAUAAGCAGGUCUGUAAACAUUUUCUUUUCUAACCUCUUUCCAUAUUUAUAUGAGUAUAGAAAAACUGUGGUUAUGAAUAUUUUUUACUUUUUGAUAACUUUUAAAAACUAUCAGAUAUGUGAUAAUCAGAUAGAUUUCAAGUUUACUUACGGUGUAAAUUAGGAAAAUUUUUAUAAAGAUUCUAUCCAGUAUUGAUCAAAAGUAUAAAUUGUGUGUCUUUUUAAGCAGCAGUUUGGCAAUGACAAUCAAAUUGAUACUAUGUAAAAGUUUUGAAAUGUUAUAGCUGGCUACUGGGGUUUUUAUCUAUUCCAGUUCUCGAAAAUUUACCAAAUAUAGGUUGGCUGUAAAAUCAUAACUAUCUGAGGUAUCUGUCAAUAAAUCAAAGAUUGCAAUGAUGAUAGCUUCUUUAACAUGAAUGUAAUUCUAACAGUAAAAAAUUUCUAUAUGGAAUAUGUUUUGUAGUCCUAAAUUGAUAUUUUAUAUCAUUUUUCAGUGAACAAGUAGUUGUUUACAGGUGUCUGUGCAUAUGUCUCAAGUUUUUCUAACUAAAAUAUUAAUAGUUAAGUCUAAAAAUAUGAAUUAUACGUGGGGCUUGUCAUUCUGACAUUUAAUACUUCAGCGUGGUGAUAAUGGUGAUAUAAUAUACUGUUUGAAAUUGUAACACAUGAGUUAAAAUCAAAAGAUUGAUAAGUACAUAUUUGUAUAUUGCUACAUGACAAAAAUCUAGGAAGAAUAUGAUUCACAUGAAAAUUCUUUGGAAGGACAUGACAGACUUUUAACAGUCCUGUAUAGUGAAAGGAGAAUAGAACGACUACUUCUACUUUCUGUAUCUGAAAUUUUCAAAAGCUAUUUCAAAAUGAACAUUUAAACAACAGGAAAUUUUAGAGACAACCACUUUGUGCCUGUCUUCAUCCUUGACAUUCAACAUCCUAGGAACAAUGGGCUGUUGUAUUCAACUUCUUAUUCCCAACAGCCAUUAUGAAUGGUUUUUGAUUGAUCUCACAAAGAGCAUGUGCUUUAGACAUUAAUGCAGCGACUACCAUGAAACAGAGUAUUGGAUUACCUAAGGAAAGAAGCAGAGGAUGGAAUUUGAGGUGCAAUCAGGAUGAGUGAAAAAUUGAUUUGCAGCUGACCUGCAAAUGGAAUCAUCAGGAACAUCCCUUUCUCAUGGAGUCCCUUAAUUUACAAGUUAACUGCAAACAUAGGUGAGAUGAUAGUUCCAAGAAGGAACAUUUUAUCGUCUUUGUUUUUAAUCUCAAGAAUGGUACCUACCAUCAGUGAAUGACCUGUUGCAGUGCUUUCAUUGAAGUGUUCUUCGUUCCCUCAGCAAUAUGAUUGGUGAUGACUGAAAAAGGGAAACUGUGCCACUAUUUGUACCAUCAUUUUCACCAAAAUCUAAAAAUGCUUUUUAUGACGUAUGGAGACAUUCUUCAUGUUUGUUUCAGUGGACACUCCUUGCAGAUGUAAAAAACUGAGAAAACUCACUUUUGGAAAGUGACCUAAAGAGUGUCAUUGAAGUGAAUUUUAAGUAGGCACGAUGAUUGUUUUCAUGGUUGCUGUUGGAUCAUAUCUCAGGAGCUGGAAUGACAGACAUUAUUGAACAAAGAAAUCAGGAUAGUGGAACUUAAAGGGCUUCAUCUCAGUGCUUUCAUAAGUAUGAAGUGCAUAUAUUUAUAAUUUUCACUAAUCACAGGGUAAAUAUAAAAUUGAUUCAUUAAAAAUGUUUCAUAAGAAUUCAAAGGACAUAGAAUUUUGUGAAAUGUAGUAUUUUUACUUAAGUGCCUUUUCUCUGCUUCUACCCCACAGCCAAUUUUUUAUAAACCAGUUGAUAACAUAAGUAGUUUUUGGGGGAUGAUACAUUACUUAUACAUUUUCUAUGUAGUAAACAUGUAUGUGUAUGUGUGUGGGUGUGUGUCUAAUUACUUUGUUGGACAGAUUCCUGUGGUUUGGAACUGCUGGGGCCAAGUUUAUACAAAAAUCUACAUUUUUGAGUAAACUCCCCAUGACUCUAGUAAGUUUCCACAGUAUUUGAGUAUUCUUUAUUUCCUAAAGCAAUAUUCCCUCUGUAUACUUGCAUUUUUUUCUAUCAAUUGACGCUUACAAUUAUUUUUGCAAGUUGGAAAAAAAUGCAGUAUUAAUUUCAUUUGCAACAAAUUUAAUAGAUUAAUUAGGAGAGAAUAGAUAUCUUUAAAAUUGAGUCUUCUGUCCAACUGCAAGUUAUAGCUGAGGUGGUACCAGUUUAAGAAGUGAGAACUUCUUCACUGACUGAAAUUUGCAUAUCAAUCCAAAUCAUUGUGCUUAUUUACUAUUUUUGUAGACGUCAUUCUUCAAAAGUGCUGCAUCUUCAAUAGUCAAGGAGGACAAAGACAUCUUUCCUGCAGGUGUGGUGACCAUGUGGAUAAUAGGAUCAUAGACAAAUGGUGGUUCCAUCUACAGCAUCACCGAAAUGCUGUUGUUACUGCUUCUUUCUGGGAUCUUCUUGCAUCUUUGCUUCUAAAGGGGCACACCUUUUAUAGAAGUACGUCCAGGAAUAGAAGUGACCUGCUUUUUCGCAAGUAAUUGCCUGGAAUGUUUUUAUGUACUUCUCUGCACUCUCAAUACAUUUCAUGCUUCCCUCUAUUUUUGUAUAUUAACUCAUUGUAUUUCUUAAAUUUAUAUUUUACUUUAUGAAUGGAAGUGAGAUUUGUGUAUGGUAAAUAUAAUUAAUUCAACCCCAUGGAUACGUUAGUCACUGUCCAGAUGAUGGCAAGUCUUUCUCAGAAGCAGAGGGCCUUGGUGUGCCAGUGAUUUUUUUUCCCCAUGUGUAAGAUACUUUUUUUCCUCAUUUGAAUCAGGAGCCCACAGUUUUUAGACAAGUCCCAAAUGAAAUCUUAAGCAUUUGUGUUAUCUGGACUAGACCUUCUGUAGUAUCCUUUUUGUUAGACCUAGUAUAUCUCAUUGCAGAUCAGGAUCUGAGAUUGACUAUAGUUCACCUCUUUCCAAGUACACAAACUUGGAUGACAUGACAACUGAGUGUGUAAGGGAGAGCGAGACCCUUGCACUGCCAUUUGAGCCCUUGUGAUCUCAUCUUGUAGAACAUGUUGUACAAUCAUUUUAUUGGUAUCAUUAGUGUUAUUUGGGGCUGGAAUAAAAAUCUCAGUGCACCAAAGAGAUUUCCCCUUUAUCCACGUUACCCUGGUUUUCCUUUGUUUUCUGUUUAACCUAAACGGGCUUAAUAUAAAAUAGUGCUUAUUUGGUGUUUUAAUUGUCUGCUUCUAUAACAUAAGCUGCACUGUCCAUUGGGGAACUGCUCACCAUAUUGCCCAACCUGUCUUGAUAGGUUUAUACAUGGGAGGCAUUCAGUAAUAUUAAUUACCUCUCUAGACCAGUGUUAGCAAUAACAAACACUUGCUAGAAUUUUAAGACUAUAUAAUCAAUCACUUUGAUGUCAGUUAAUCCUACCAACACAAGAUUAAAGGUUUAAAAAUCUCAUACGUGUACAGCCAUUAGUGUCUCCUUUCAUACUAUAUUAUUUUGUUCAUUGGCAGCUAGAUUUUUAGGUAGAACUUGUGUUCCUUUUUGCAAUGCUUAAAAUAUAACUUUUCAGUCUCUUCCCCCUGGGACUCCAAUUUUUACAUAUGUAUUAGACCUAUUAAUAUUUUUCUAUGGAUACCUGACAUUCUUUUUAAAUCUUAUUUUUGGUGUUUUUCACUUUGAACAACCUAAUAAUUUGUUUCCAUCCAUGUUCACUCACUGUUUAUUCUAUUUUUUCCCAAUCUGCUCUUAAGCCUAUCCUGUGAAUUUUCUUUUUAAUUUAUUUUAUUUUUUAGUUCCAGAUAUUUUCUGCUUUUUGUUUGUUUUUGAGACAGAAUCUUUCUCUGUCACACAGGGUGGAGUGCAGUGUCAUGGUUCACCGCAGCCUUGACCUCCUGGUCUCAAGUGAUCCUCUCACCUUAACCUACCCACUCCUAAGUAGCUAGAACUACAGGUGCAUGCCACCACGCUCAGCUAAUUUUUUAUUUUUGUAGAGAUGGGGUCGUUGUGUUGCCCAAGCUGGUCUUGAACUCCCAGACUCAAGCAGUCUUCCUGCCUCGGCCUCAUGCCCGCGCCAACCAGUUCUUUAUUUUUAAUAUUAUGUUGUAUUUGAUGUGCUAUCCUAUUCAUUUAGUAUAAGCACAUUUUUCUUUAUGUCUUCAGCAUAAUUAUAUGCUUUUUCAGAAUUUUAACAUCAGGACUGCUUCCAGGGUAGCUUUAUUGCCCUUUGUCUUAAGUAUGGAUUAUAGUUUUCAUUCUUUGUAUGUCAAGUAAUUUUGGAUUGUAACUUGAACUUUGAAUAUACUGUAGAAACUCUGAAUUCUAUUUUAUUCUUCUAAAACAAUAUUUCUCAGCUUCAGCACUACUGACAUUUUGAACUGGGUCAUUUUGUUUGUGUUGUUGUGUGUAUUUUGGGAGGGUACUGUUCUAUAUGCAUUGUGGGGUACUGAGUAUUAUCCUUUGUCUCCACUCACUACUUACCAGUAGCAUAACUCUCUCUCCUCCCCACAUCCCCUGCCAAAAAAUGCCUUCAGUCCUUUCUAAGCGCUCUUUUUUAUGGUGUUGGGGCCAAAAUCAUGCAUCUUUACUCACUCUUUCUCAUUGAGAGCUAUGGCUAUAAAGGGUAGUGAUACUUUUACUUAUUUAUUUUUAAGGCAAGCAGUUAACUUAGCUGGAUUCAAACUCCAGGCUGCCUCGUGUGCUGUGGGAAGCAGCCUACGCUCUAUUCAGUUCUUUUCUUUUCAUAUUGGUUGGGUUACUUUGAGUCUGGCCUACAUGAUGGGCAGUUUAGAGGUCAACCAAAGGAUUUCAGCAGAACUUAUACACAGAAUUUCAUUCAGGCUUCCCGUGUCUGAUUGGCUACAGUGUGGGAAUUUCCUCCCACUUUUCAGCCACUACUGAGGAUGCCUUUCGGCAAAAUUCCUUGAAAUUGGAAACUUACAGGGAAAUUCCUUUCCUCCAAGAGUGCGCUCUCCUCCAGUGUUGGCUUGCUUUUGGUUGUUCUCCGUGGUUUUAGAUAGCUGUCUUUAUAUUAAUUCUGGAGUUUACAGUUGAUAUCUGUUGGGGGCUUAGUUUGAUAACAUGUAUUCUUCUAUUACUAGUAGCCAGACCUGUAUGUCUUACUUGACCUGAUGGAGAAAAGUUUCAACUUAUGAGACAAUACUGUGCUAGCUAGUUUUACUGAUUUGUACUCUAAAGUACCCAAGCCUAAAAUAGUAGAGCUGUCUAUCCCACAUGAAACUUCUCUGAUUUUCACUGUUUUUUAUAAAAAGUAUACAUGUUCACAUUUCUGUAGGUUUUUUUAAGCAUCACAAUUUUUAUAAACUUUCUAUAUUUCCAAGGUCUACCUGCUUUGUAUUUUGCCUAGUGAGAGUUUUGUAUUCAUGUAGGAAUAAUCUCUUGGUGUGAGUAUCUAUUUUCCACUCAUCCAAAACAGAUAGAGCAUUGAUUUCACUAAGCGUUAUGUUCUAGUUUGCUUUGGUAUUAUUAUUAGAAAUACCUGGUGAUUAAUUUGAGCUAAGUAUUCUUCUCUACCCUCAUUCCCAGCAUUAUCACCCGCUUUUACCACUUCCAAGGGGUGGAAGCAUUCUCCACAAUGCAUUUUUUCAUGCCAGAGAAAAAUCUAGAAAAAAAUGAAUAAAACGAAGAAAUUCUUUCCCCUUGGUAUCUGUAGCUAACUUGCCUAAGUGUUCUUUCCCACAGUUUAAGUCUUCAGUCCAUAGUUCAUAAGCAAAGGGGUGUAGCGAGCUCUGAUCUUGCCAGAAGAGAGAAUAAGUGAGCUACCCCACGGUGGACAUUCUGGCCAUCUGAAAUGAGUCGAUGCAUGUGGCUUUUGUCUAAAGGCUACAAAUAAAAUGUAACCACUUUCUUCUUUGAGUAGUUGAUAUAGCAAAUAGUUGAAACAGAAGUUUUGAUUGGCAAAUCAGGAUGUGGUAGAUACUUUAACAAAGAGUAGAACUAUUACCAGUUUUAUGUGUUGCUGUUUGUAUCUCUUUCACAGUUUUGAUAAUAUCACAUCCUGGAAAGUGAAACAGAAAAUUAUUAUUCCAUUUUAAAUGACUAAAUUUGCUUUCAUGGUAUUUACAGUGAAAGAGUAAAUUAGAAAGUGAAUGGAUGACUGUUCAUGAGAAAAAGCAGGGUAAAAAGAUUUUAUUUAAUUAAUUGAAAAUAUUAGGGUCAAAACAUAGGCUUAUGUUAUGUUUUGUGAAUUGUGCUGUGUUGUAGACAUUUGAUGAGUCCUAACAUAGAAUUGAUCUAGCUCUUGAAAUACCAUUUUUGAUUGAGUAUAAAUGGGAUAUAGGCACCUUACAACUUCAGAAUUCGAGGAAGAUGAUGUGAAUCUUCCAAUUUUAUCUAUUUGAUUCAAAUGGUAUGUUUUUUCACAUUUCUCAUAAUUUCCACGUCAACUCCCAUGAUGAUCAUGCAGGAAAGCAGCAUGAUUGCACUUCUUGUAGUGCAUACCAUCACUAAAACAUAGUUACUGUCUUUCUGUGGUCUUAAGAAAAAUUCAGAAACAGCAUACCAAUGUACAUAUAAGAUAAAUAAGCUUAUGUGGUACAGUAAGUGUUCUGUUCUGAGAAAUACCUUGAUUCGUAUCCUAAUGUCUGAUGUUAUUGGUAGUUCUCAAACUUCCCCAAUUCUGCUUUCAUCUAAAUUCAUCUUAUCUAUCUAUUGUUAAAUAAUCUAUCAGUCCAUUUUUAUCUAUCAUCUAUAUAUCUGUCUUUAUCAAUCAUUCGUCUGUAAUCUAUCUGUGCCGUUUGGCAUAAGAGACAGAAGGGCAUAGCAGUGGAAACUCAAAGGAGUUACCUCCAUGUGAAUGGACAGUGGUGAUGGUGAUCUGUGAGGUGGUGAUGUAUAGAAAGAAAAACUAGAAGAGAGCAUGCCCUAACUCAGGGACCUUGUCCAGCAGGCACUCUGGCCUUGUUAUACUGUGCUUGAAUAUGAAAAAAAAAAAAAUCAAAAUAGUGCUGACAUUCUUUGUCUUCUGGGUCUGAGAAAACUUAGAGUAGAUAUGAUGACUCUGCCAUUUCAGUCUUUUGUAUUUCCACAUUUAGAGCUCAGUUUUAAUUAUGUAGAAUUAUUUCUCCAGCCUGUGUUAAACUAGACCAUGGAUUGGCAAACUUUUUUUGUAAAUUGCCAAAUACACAUUUUCAGUUCUGAAAGCCUUGUGGUCUUUGUUGCAGCUAAUCUACUCUGCUGUUGUGUUAUGAAAGCAGCCAUAGGUAAUUUAUAAUUGAAUGAGUGCGCUGUGCCUUUCUUCCAAUAAAACUUUACAAAAGCAUCCUGUGGGCUGGAGUUUACCCUUUGGGAAACCAGAGCAUUGGCUAAACUGGAACCUGAAAAAAUAAUCACAUCAACUCAGCCACAUGGUAAUAAUAUUUAGAGUAUUAUUUCAACAUUUUCAUUUUCAUAAAAAUUUUUUUAGCUCUUUUGCCAAAUUCCAUCUGUGAGUGAUACAAAUGACUACCACGUGCCAUUAACAUCACCUAAACAGUGCAAAACAAGCAUAGUAGAAGUAAUUGGAAUGAUAUAAACCCCUUGCUGUAAUAGUUAUAGUUGAUAAAUUAUGUUUCAAAAUUGAACCUAUUUCUUCCAAAUUUCAUCUAUAAAGUUCCAAGGAGUUCCAAAAUCUUGCCUGCCUUCUUUUCCCAGUUAGCAGUAUUGUCUCUGAGCAGCCAUGGUGGUAUCCAUCCUCCUUGGACAAUGAAUUUAGCCUAUUUUGACUUCAUUUGAGCAGUUGUAAUUGUUUCACCACAUCAGAGUAAGAUUACUACAUGCCAGAGCUAUUCUUUAACUCAGCUUGUAAAAACAUGAUAGCAUCAACAAUAUACAUAGCAAAUGAAUGCCAUCUUUAAUCCAAUUAAAUGGUUUUUACAAAUUUGCUCUUGUUUGUUGAUGCUAUCUGCAUUGCAGUAAUUAAAGGUGAGGUAAAAAGAAUGAAUAAACUGCCAAGUUAAAAUUAAAUUUGGGCAAUUUCUCUUUUGCAGUAAUGUAUGUAUAUUUACUCAAAACAUAUGCCAAAUUUAGUGUUGAAAGGCUCAUUCAAAUCAAUUGGGAAAGCACGUAAAUGAACAAUUCAUAAAAGAAAAGCAUUGCAAAUGGCCAAGAGCAUAGAAAAUGUGCUCAAUCUUACCAGUCAUUAUAAGGAAAUAAUGAAAUUUGUGUAUAUAUGAAAUACUUAAAAUAUAUAUAAAAUAAAACAAUUAUUUGCCUUUUUUCACCUAUCAGAUUAACAGAUUAUAUGUGUUAACAAGGUGGGGAGAAUUUACAACUCCUGAUAUGUUAAAAUCUUUCAGGAAGGUAGUAGAAAAUAUAUGUAAGAUGGAAAUUAGCACUUUUGACCAACAAUUUUAGUUUUAGAUAUUUACCUAUAAGGAUAUAAUAGGAGGUGUUCAAAGAUGCAUGUAACUCAAUGUAGUAUUAAUUAUAAUUGUAAAAUAGUAAAUAACAUUUUUGUCAAAUCAUAAUGUUAGGAAAAUUAGUGAUGGCACAUUUAACCAAUUGAAUUAUAUUCAGUUCUGAAUACCGUGAUGCAUGUUCAAAUUAAUUGAUACAAAAAUCCAACAACUUUAGCAGUUUGUUUACCAGUUAUUGAGUACCAACUGUGUUCAACAUUGUUAUUUCACUCAUAUGAAAUGAUAAAUGUAUGUGCGUGUUAUGAUACGGUCAAUAAAACCACUUUUAUAGGAAGAAUACUCACAAUUUUGACUAUUUGUCAUGUAAGGAAUGCACAGUGCCAUUCUAACUGUGUAUAUUCUGGUAUUUGGGGGGUUGGAAAUUGACUAUAUGAGAUUCUUGCAGCUGGGUCUCUGACAUGUUGAGAAUGCUGAAGAAGAAAAAGUACAGAAGGAGAAAGCAGAGAUGGGGAAAGCUGCAUCCCUCAAAUAGGAUACCACUGGAUACUGAGCAGUGAACAACCUCUGGUUUUGUCGGACACCAUUUUGGAAUAUUUGGACACAGUUUCCGGAAGGAUGAGAGACCUAAUCAAUGGAACUCUCCAAUACUGAAUUCAGGCUGGGAUAUUAGAGAAAAGGAAAAUACAUGAAACUCAGUGGUGUUUUAUGGCACUUUGAGUUCCCCAAUUCACCUUCAAACAUUUAGCCUUCCAAGUUCUCUGCCACCGUAUCAGUGCAUCCCUCCUGAGAUUCUUAAUUCUUUGAUUGUGUAAAGAUGGACUAUGCUUACUCCAUCUUACUUCUCUUAGGUCUUACAAUGGAAGUGCCCUAUUACAUUUUGUUCUUUUCUAUGAUAUUGAAGUAGAUUCCUAAAGUUUUUAUCUCUUCUAGAAUAUUGGUUUCACAACACCCCUAUUAUGUGUAUUUAAUUUUACCCACCACAUGGCGUUUUCAAAAAGUCUUUAUUUGGCGGAAUACAACUUCAGAAUCUGAUUCGAAGAGAAAAUUGCUCACAGCCGUGAGCCACUGUGCCUGGCCGAUUUUUACUAUUUAAAGAAGGAAGAAUUUUAGCAGCGUGGGGUGGCUCAUGCCUGUAAUCCCAGCACUUUGGGAGGCUGAGGUGGGCGGAUCACUUGAGGCCAGUAGUUCAAGAACAGCCUGGCCAACAUGACGAAACCCCAUCUCUACUAAAAAUACAAAAAUUAGCCAGGCGUGGUGGCACGUGCCUGUAGUCCCAGCUACUCGAAGGCUUAGGCAGGAGAAUCGCUUGAAUCAGAGACAGGGAGGCUGCAAUGAGCCGAGAUUGCACCACUGCACUCCAGCCUGGGCGACAGUGCAAGACUCCAUCUCAAAAAUAAAGAGGAAUUGGAGGAGGAAAUAAAUGAAUAAAUGACAAAGGUGACAAAGGACCAAAGAUCUGUGACUUGUGCAAAGAUUGCUCUGUGUUUGCUGCAGGUCUAGAAGAUGUCACAGAAUUUCAAGGAAGAGAGGUGCUGGAGUACAUUGGCCCAGUCAGAGCUCACUUCAGCUCUUCACCCUGUAGCCCUUAACUCCUGGGCUCAAGUGAUCCUCCACCCUCAGCCUCCCAAGUAUCUAGGAAUACAGGUAUGUGUUACCACACAUAGCUAAUUUUUAAAUUUUUUAUUUUGUGAAGAUAGGAUCUUACUGUGUUGCUAAGGCUGGUCUUGAACUACUGGGCUCAAGCAGUCCUCUUGUUUUGGCUUCCCAAAGUGCUAGGAUUACAGGCAGGAGCCACCAUGCCUGGCAUCAUUAGGGAUAUUGGUCUGUGAUUCACUUUUGAUGAUGUCUUUGGUUUUGAUAAAAAUUAGGGUAAUAGUAGACUCAUGGAAUAAGUUGGGAAAUGUUUUCUGCUCUCCUGUUUUUUGGAAGAGUUGUGAAGGAUUGAUGUUAUUUCUUUAAUGAUUUGGUAGAAUUCAUCAGAGAAAUCAUUUGUGUGGAAUUUUAUUUGUGGAAACUUGAGCACACACACACACACACACACACACACACACACGCAAACUCACAAACACAACACACAGACAGAAAAUGACAAAUAAACACACACACUCACACACACACACACAGGAGCCCACAGAAAAAAGCAAAUAGACGCAGAAACGGGCACGUGCAGUAGUUCUGGCCACACAUGUUCCCUAGGUAUCCACAGAAUGGCAUGGGUAUUGUAUAUUCAUAAAGAUGGAGAUCAGUCAUGGAGGCCAAGGACAAGUAGGUGCACUGGUUGAACUACAGUAGAGAAUGGCAUGGAAGUGGUGAGCAAUGGACCUGGGCCUGUUUCUCAAGUGUGUAUUUGAUUUCUUUACAAUUCCCCGGAGAAGUUGUCAUGGGAGGCCAGCCGCCUGCUGGCAAGGAAGAUGGUUGAUUCUUCUGAUCAAUGGAGGCCCUGCAGAGUCCUGUAGUCACUGUGGCCUGGCAUCCAUGGUGCACCCAAUGCUGGUGGAUGGCUUAGGACGGUGUACGCCUCACCUGAGAGGGCGGCUAGAGACAGUGUCUGCUCAGGACAUCAGAUGUCCCGUGAGGAGGAGUGUGUACUCACACCAGGGGAGUUGACUGAGGCAGUUGCUGUGGGAGGUGUGGUAACUGCUGGAAGGAAGAUGCUCAAUUCUUCUGAGCAACGAAGGCCACACGGAGUCCUGGAUUCUGUGUGGCCUGGCAUCCAUGGCGCACUGUGUGCUGGCAGGUGGCUCAGGACGGUUGGAUGACAAGUUGGCCAGCAGAGGUGUCAGAGGGCAGGUUCCAGGGAAUACAAGGGUCAGACUUGUGCUCCUGGCCCUUGGUCACUUCUCGUCUUCCUGACAGAGUAGUGGGCUCCACUGUUGGGCACAUCUUCCUGGAAGUCGUCUCUUGGCCCGCCAUUGCCGAGCGGCCACACCUGCUGCAGCUCGUGUGAGCAAAUAUGGCUCUGGAUCCUCUUUCCUGCUUUGAAAGCAGCUUCCAUCCUGAAGGCGUCCAGAGGGUAUGGGCAGUUAUCAUGGGACACCCGCCAUAUGCUGGCAAGGAAGAUGGUCAGUUCUUCUGAGCCACAAAGGCCCCCAACAUCCUGGAGUUGGUGUUGCCUAGCAUCCACGGUGCGCCCCCUGCUGGUGGAUGGCUCAGGAUGGGGCAGUUGCCGUGGGAGGCCCGCUGCCUGCUGGAAGGAAGAUGGUCAGUUCUUCUGAACCACAAAGGCCCUGCAGAGUCCUGGAGUCUGUGUGGCCUGGCUUCCAGGGUUCACCUCAUGCUGGUGGAUUGCUCAGGAUGGGUGCCGAAGGUCUUUAAGGUCGUCAGCUCACCUACUGCCCAGCCUGUGGUGUCAAAUGUCCUGCCUCUUCAAAUGUGUUUGGAUCGAUGAUGAGUCCCCCCAAAAAAACAUUCCUUGGAAAAGCUGAACAAAAUGAGUGAAAACUCAUACCGUCGUUCUCAGCGGAACUGAGGUCCAGCGCGUUGCCUCCAGCAGGGACUGUUGGAGUGAGGGAGAGCUUCCACUAGUCCCUAUAGGUUCCACCACCCAGGGCAUCCGCAGGUGUGCACCUCACCUAAGAGGGUGGCCAGAGACAGUGUCUUGUCAUGACAUCAGAAGCCCCAUGAGGAAGAGGAGGAGCCUGUGCUCCUGCCAGAGGUGGUGGCUGUUAGGGACAGUUGCCGUGGGAGGUCCGCUGCCUGCUGUCAAGGAAGAUGGUCGAUGCUUCUGAGAAACAGGCCCUGCGGGUUCCUGGAUUUGGUGUGGCCUGGCAUCCACGGUGCACCCCGUGCUGGCGGGUGGCCCAGGACGGGGCAGUUGCCUUGAGAGGCCCACCGCCUGCUGGCAUGACAGAUGGUCAGUUCUUCCGAGCAGUGGAAUCUCCAUGGAGUCGUGGAGUCGGUGUGGCCUCGCAUCCACAGUGCACCCUGUGCUGGUGGAUGGCUCAGGACACAGCAGUUGUCAUGAGAGGUCUGCCGCUUGCUGGCAAGGAAGAUGGUCAAUUCUUCUGACCAACAGAGGCUGCCUUGAGUCCUGAUUUGGUGUGGCCUGGCAUCUAUGGUGCACCCAAUGCUGGGGCAGUUGCCGUGGGAGGCCUGCCGUCUGCUGAAAGGAAGAUGGUUGAUGCUUCUGAGCAAUGAAGGCCCCAUGGAGUCCUGGAUUCGGUGUGGCCUUGCAUCCGUGGUGCACCCCGUGCUGGUGGAUGGCUCAGGACGGGGCAGUUGCCAUGGGAGGCGCAGGCCUGCUGGAAGGAAGAUGGUCGAUUCUCCCAAGCAACAAAGGCCACGUAGAGUCCUGGUUUCAGUGUGGCCUGGUAUCCACAGUGCACCCCGUGCUGGUGGGUGGCUCAGGACGGUCACACUCAUUUCCUCUGCACCUUCCUGGUGUCAUUGGCAUGGAAGGAAGGCCCUUGUCCAAGAAGGAUGGUCUUCGUCUUGUGUGAUCUUUGAGAUGCCAUGAGGCCCCUGGAUACAAAUGGUGUGGGCUCCUUUGGAGGCUUUUGGAUUUCUCCUGAAUGUGGCGUUGGUAUGGAAGGAAGGCCAGUGACCGCAAGGGAUGACUUUGAUCUUGGGAGAUUUUUGGAGAUGGCAAAGUGCUUCUAAACAUGUUUGGCAUGGUCUCCUUCAGGCUGGUGGAUACCUCAGGAUGGUGGCGUUGGCAUGGAAGGAAGGACUGUGUCUGUGAGGGAUGAUCAUCCUCUCAUGUGAUCCUUGGAGAUGCCAGGAAGCCCCUUGACACAUGUGGCAUGGGCUCCUUCAGAGGCUUUUGGAUCCGUCGUGAAUGUGGCAUGGGCAUGCAAAGAAAGACAGAGGCUGCAAGGGAUAAACUUCAUCUUGGGAGAUCCCUGGAGAUGGCAGGGAACCCAUGGACACAUGUGGCAUGGGCUCCUUUGGGUGCCGGUGGAUCCCUUCAUACGGUGUAAAGCCAGAGUUGGGUAUCAACCAGAUACACUGCAGGGGAUCAGAGGACAUGGCCUUUGUGUACUGCACAUCUGUCAGAUUUUCUCAAGCACACCCGUGUUUCCUCUUCACCUCCCACGUGGAAGUGAUGAAUUGGCCAGGACCAUGUUGGUGAGGGACAAUCAUCAUCUCAUGUUAACCUCAGAGAAGCCAGGAAGCUCCUGGACACACAUGGUGUAGGCUUCCUUGGAGGCUGUUGGAUCUCUCCUGAAUGUGUAGUGUUGGUGUAAAAGGCAAACCCGUGUCAUGAGGGAUGGUCAUCAUCUUGUGUGAUCCUUGGAGAUGGCAGGAAGCCCUGGACAUACAUGGUGUGGGGGCUCCUCCAGAGGCUGUUGGGAUCCUCCUGGAUGUGUGGUGUGGGCAUGGAAGGAAGGCCAGUGGAGACAAUGGAUGAUCUUGUUCUUAGCAGAUCACUGGAUGUGGCAGGGAGUCCUAGGACAUGUGUGGUGUGGGCUUCUUCAGGUGCUGGUGGUGUUGGCAUGAGGAAAGGAGGUAUCUUCGAGGGACAAUCUUCUUCUUGUGCGAUCCUUGGAGAUGCCAUGAGGCCCCUGGACACAUGUGGUGUGGGCUCCUUUGGAGGCUGUUGUAUCCCUUCUGAAUGUGGCGUGGGCAUAGAAGGAAGGCCAGUGGCCACGAGGGACAAUCUUGGUCUUGGGAGAUCCUGGAAAUGAUAGGGAGUCCCUUGAUAUGUGUGGCAUGGGCUCCUUCAGGUGCUAGUGGAUUCCUUAGGAUGGUGUGGUGUUGGCAUGAAAGGCAGGCUUGUAUCAUGAGGAAUGAUUGUCAUCUUGUCUGAUUCUUGGAGAUGGCAGGAAGCCCCUGGAAACACAUGGUGUGGACUCUUUCACAGGCUGUUGAAACCCUCCUGAAUGUAAGUGAUUUCAUUCCAAAGCACCCUGAGUUUCCUCAUUUGCAGGGAUGAAACCUGUGUGUGGAUCGAUGAUGACUUCCAUAUAUACAUUCCUUGGAAAGCUGAACAAAAUGAGUGAAAACUCUAUACUGUCAUCCUCGUCGAACUGAGGUCCAGCACAUUACUCCAACAGGGGCUAGACAGAGAAGGCCAACAUCCGUUUGUUGACAUGGGUUAUAUCAAGGCGUCUGUUCAGGCUUAGAAUGUGGUCUCUUAUGGGUGAUGGGGGUCACAGGAGAGUGGUGGCUCCCAUGUAUAGGAAAUUUCUUGUUUGAAGGACUGUCAGUGAGGGUGGGUAACACAUGCAUUGUCUGCAGGACUAGGUGAAUGUCCAUGUGGCCUAGCAAGAGUUAGCUGGUAGCCCGCCUCUGGUUGCCAAUUUGUUCUUGAGUCCUUGUUCUGGGUUCUCAGGUCCCACGGAGGAAAACAGAUCUGUGUGGUUGAGAGGUGGGUACAAGGCCGCAUCUUUGUCAUUUGUUGGCUAACUUUGUCCUUGGUUGAGGACAUUAGAGUUUUGGUCACCAGGCAUAGCCUAUGUGCCUUUGUGCCCGUGUUGUAUCCCACGUGUUUUGAGGACAUGUAUUUUGCACGUAAAGGUGAGCUCCUGCUCCAAGCUGGUUCUGAUACCAAAGGAGUCCCUGGCUUAUCCUAAACUCAUGGUAGGUUAAAGCCUUCCUCCUUAGGGGUUCAGGGCCGCAAGGCUUUUGUGAGUGGCAUUGCAGGCGUUGAAGCAGUGAUGUUGAGAGGGAUGGUCAAUGUCAGUGCUCUUUAGCAGGAUGGUGUACUGCAGGGGCCCCCAGCCCCGAGACGAGCAUCCCUGCAUCCAUGCAUUUCUGCCUCCAUGAACAGGGGAGGCCAGAGACAGGCAGAUAGUAGAUAAAUUGCAGGGGACUGGAUGACAUGGCCCUCGUGACCUGUGCACCUGUCUGUCUUUCUGAAGCACGCCUGUGUUAACUCUGCACCUCCCAGGUAGCACUGGCAUGGAGGGCAGGCACAUGUUGGUGAGGGACAAUUGUUACCUUGUGUGAGCUGCGGAGAUACCAGGAAGCCCCUGGACACAAAUGGCAAAGGCUCCUUCGGAAGUUGUUGGAUCCCUUCUGAAUGUAAGCACUUCUUUCCCAGAGCACUCUGAGUUUCCUCAUUUGCAGGGACAAAUACUGUGCGUGGAUCGAUGAUGACUUCCACAUAUACAUUCCUUGGAAAGCUGAACAAAAUGAGUGAAAACUCUAUACCGUCAUCCUCGUCGAACUGAGGUCCAGCACAUUACUCCAACAGGGGCUAGACAGAGAGGGCCAACAUCUGUUUUUUGACAUGUGGCCUAGCAAGAGUUAGCUGGUAGCCCGCCUCUGGUUGCCAAUUUGUUCUUGAGUCCUUGUUCUGAGUUCCUGGAAGGAAACAGAUUUGUCUGGUUGGGAGGAGAAUACAAGGCCACAUCUUUGUCGUUUGUUGGCUAACUUUGUCCUUGGUUGAGGACAUUAGAGUUUUGGUCACCAGGCAUAGCCUAUGUGCCUGUGUGCCCGUGUUGUAUCCCAUGUGUUUGGGGGACAUGUACAUUGCAUGAACUAGUGAGCUCCUGCUCAUUGCUUCUGAUACCCAAGGAGUCCCUGGCUUAUCCUAAACCCAAUAUAGGUUAAAGCCUUUCUCAUUAGGGGCCCAGGGUCCCAAGGCUUUUGUGAGUAUCAUUGUAGGUAUUGAAGCAACGAUGUUGAGAAGGAUGCUGAACAUGCUCUUUAGUGGGAUGACGUACUCUGAAGGCUCCUGACCCCCAGAUGAGCAUCCUUGUGUCCGUUAACUUCUGUGUUUAUGAACAGGUGAGGCCAGAGACAGGCAGACAGCAGAUGUAUUGCAGGGAGCUGGAUGACAUGGCCCUUGGAACCUGUGCACAUGCCUGCCUUUCUGAUGCACGUCCAUGUUUUCUCUGCACCUCCCCGGUGGUGUUGGUAUAAAAAGCAGGCUUACAUCAGCAAGGGAUGAUUGUCGUCUCAUGCGAUCCUGGGAGAUGGCAGAAGUCCCGGGACACAUGGAGUGUGGGCUCUUUCGGAGGCUGUUGGAUCCCUCCUGAAUGUGGGCAAGGACUGGAUCGAUGAUGACUUCCAUAUGUACAUUCCUUGGAAAGCUGAACAAAAUGAGUGAAAACUCUAUACCGUCAUCCUCGUCGAACUGAGGUCCAGCAUACUGCUCAUCAGGGGCUAGAGAGAGGGACAACAUCCGUUUGUUGACAAGGGCUGUGUCAACACUUGGGAUGGGGUCGUCUUUGGGUGAAGUGGAGUGUGUUGUGGCCAUGGAAGUAAGGCCAGUGGCUACGAGGGACAGUCUUCAUCUUGGGAGAUCCCUAGAGAGGGCAGGGAGCCCCUUGACAUGUGGAAUGUGAUCUCUGUUGGGUGCUGGUGGAUCCCACAGGGAUAAAGACUGUGCAUGGAUCGAUGAUGACCUCAAUACAUGCAUUCCUUGGAAAGCUGAACAAAAUGAGUGAAAACUCUAUACCGUCGUCCUCGUCAAACUGAGGUCCAGCACGUGGCUCCAACUGGAGCUGGAGAGAGAGAGACAACUUCCAUUGGUUGAUGUGGUCUGGCAUGGAAGAAGGCCAGAGGCUGCGAUGGAUCAUCUUUGUCUUGGGAGAUUCCUGGAGAUGGUGGGGAGCCCCUGGGCACGUGCAGCAUAUGUGGCGUGGGCUUCUUCAGGUGCUGGUGGAUCCCUCAGGAUGGUCUUUUCAAGGUUUUUCUAUGAGUUCUGUUAAAGAGUCUGAAAAUGGAGCGUAGAAGACAUGCUUCGAUUUCCAGGAUGGUUGUGUUUUCCAGAGAGGCGGAGGUAAACCACUGGCGCAGCCCUGCCUCCCACAGAUAAUUCCGGGUGCAGUGUUUCAUAUCUAGACUUGGACUUCUAUCCUACCAUACUUCUUUGUGUGCAGGUGCCAUGUUUUCGCAGGCAGUCUUGCUAUCAGAGCUGAGGGGAUGCUGUUUUGAUCACUUAGUUUAUCUGAUGUUGCUGGGCCUCCAACUGGUGCUGACUGGUACUUCCUGAGAUGGCGAAGGUUUUUCUGUACUCUGAGAUGCCGUGUAUCUCUAUGUAAGGGGAGGAGACUCUGGACCACAGGAAUGAAGAGAACAUCUUAGUUCAUUGUGGAACCAGCACAGAUUUUCAUACGAAAGUUAUUUCUUUUUAACCUCAAAAAGUGACAGAAUGGAGUGUAUCAUGAAAAAGUCUGACAUCAAAACCUCAAAAUGUGAUAUUGAUUGGGUGAGAUAGAAUUCCAUGGAAUUUCAUUGCCAAACCAGUGAAGUGCUAAUUUUGACAUUUGUACCAGCUAACGUAGCUGUGAAGAAACACACCAAUACACUUCUAAGGACAGCAUAGACCAAGAUCUAGGUUUCAUAUGGAUGAAUUUAUUCUUCCCUUUGAGGCAAGACAAGAAGGAAAGAAAGUAUUGGGAAUAAUGCUGCCCUCCCAUCCUCAAGGGCCAGUGGGAACUCUAAUAUUGAUUGGGUGAGAUACAAUUCCAUGGAAUUUUACCACUGAACCAGUGGAGGGCUAAUUUUGUCAUUUGUACCAGUUAACUAACUUGGGAGGAAACAGAACAACACACUCCUGAGGUGGUAAAAUGGAAACUCUGAGAGUUUGGUUGGCGGCAUCUAUAUACCAUAGAAACAGAGCCUGGGAAGCAGAACAGUGAGACCCAAGAGAAAUGUUCCUGCCUAUACUUGAUUGGUUUUCACAGAAUUCCAUGGACUUUAACUGCUGAACCAAUGAUGCACUGAUUUUGUCACUUGUACCAGCUAACGCAUCUGGGAGGCAACAAAACAAUACUCUCCUGAGGUUGUGCUUUGUGUAUUGGAGGUAAUACUGGAAUUGCAUGGAAUUCCUACUGCUGCUCCAGUAACCUGCUGAUUUUGUCACGUGUACCAGAUUCGUUGUCUGGCAAUGAGAACAAUACACUUCAGAGGUGUUAAUGUGGACCAAAAACUAGAUUUCAUAUAAAAGAGUUUAUUCCUUCUACUUGAGGUGUGACAUGAAGGAAAGUAAUGGAAAUAAUUCUGCCCUCCCAUUCUCAAGGGCCAGGGGGAAUUCAAAUAUUGAACGGAAGUGAUUUUGGAAUUGCAUGGAAUUCUCACUGCCAUCCCAAAGAAAUGCUGAUCUUGUCACUCUUACCUGUUUCAUUCCCUGGGGGCAGAACAAAAGGACGCACUCCAAAGAUCGGCAUGAACCAAGAACUGGGUUUCAUAUAAAAUAUUUUAUUCUGUCCUCUUGAGAUGUGACAUGAGAAAAGUAUUGAGAAUACUUCUAUCACCUCAUCUUCAAGAAUCCGUAGGAAUUCUCCCAUGGUGUGGACUUUACGGUUAACCUGAACAGGUCUUGGAAAAAGGACUUUAAACAUUCUCCUGUUCUGUGGAAUAAGUAUACUUUUUUCUGGACAUACACCUUGUCAGUGAGUGUUCCAUGUGAUACUAGAGUUGCAUAGAUUUUUAACCUUUACGCCAAUGAAGAUCUGAGGCAAACAUUGCCCCUUUUUUAGAAGUUUGCAUUUGUCACUGAUAACUGUAAUAAUUGAUCUUGUUGAAAAGCCUGGGAAAUGAAGAUCUGAUAUGUCACUUUUACCGGCUUCCUCAACUGAAAAAGAAUACAAUGAAACACGCUGAGGUAAUUUUUGUGCUUUCUCAGUCUUGCUGAUGAUCUUUCUAUGGGCCUGAAGCGUGGAGAGUGCCAGAGAGGCUGAUCCUCAGCAGUGUGGCAGAGGAAAGUUGGGUGCGACUAAGGGGUAUGCGGUGCCCACAUGCCACUGGGUCCUCAGCAGUACCACCUGGUCAACAAAGACAAGGCACCUAGCCCCACAUGAAACUUUAUUCCUUUCCCUUUUGAGAUGUGACAUGAAAGAAAAUAACAGAAAUGAUUUUUCCAUCCCAUCCUCAGGGACCAGUGGGAAUGAAUUUUACCAUCCCACCCUCAAGGGCCAGGUAUUGGAAGUGAUAUUGGUGGAAGACAACAUUUUGCCGCUUGGAAUUCUCACCUCCACACCAAAGAAGUACUGUUUUUGUCAUUUGCACCAGCUUCUUUCUCCAGGAAAGAUCAAAACGAUGCACUGCAAGGUAGUGUGAUUGGUCCAGAUAGCUGCCUUAUCCAACUGCCUCCUUUGGACCACUUCAUCAUGGGACAGCUUGAUGCAAUCUACUUGACAAGACCCUGGAACCCCACACCCCUCAUGGAACCAGUGUCCACCUCCCAGUCACAGUGUGACCCCAGGGAACUCUUGCCUGCUUGCUUUAAACCCACCACUUAAAAGUCUCCACAGAAAACCUGUUUGAAUAGUACCCUUGACCCAAUAAGGGCAUUGGCCCCUGGGUGUCUCUCUCUCUCUCUCUCUCUCUCUCUCCCUCUCUCUCCCUCUCUCUCUCUCGCUCCCUGACCUCUGCGUGUGGACUCCAGGCAUGCCAUAUACCCCUCAGGACCUGUGACUUGUCAGGAAGCAAAAGAAUGAAUUAAAGAAAACUCCAGAGAAUGAGCUGACAACCUACUCCCUGGUCAGUGGCUCUCCAUGCCUACCUGUGGUCUCUUGGACACCCUUGCAGGUAAGAUGACUUCCUGGGAACUCUUCUGGGAGUGAAUGUUAUCAGCAAAUUCCCAAAACAACACCCCUUAGACAAAAAGCCUCCUCACCUAUGCAUUGCCUAGACCACCCACUAAAGGUGUGAUGGCCACAAAGAGGUGGAUUUGUUGAGUUGGUGCCAUUCCUUCUACUGCCAGCUUCACCAAAACAAUGACACAGUCUUCCUUCCGCAUGGAGACUCUUCUCUUUCCUGUGUUGCAGUGGAUGCCUCCUGCAGAUAAGAAAUGCUUAACUGAGAAAUGCUCAUGUUGGGAUAUCAUCGAUGAGACUUUAAUUUGGGCAUGGUGACUGUUUCCCUUGCUGCCACUUGACUCAAUCCCAGGAGCCUCAGUAGAGGAUAUAAUAUUACACAAGAUGCUCAAAAUGGUGGAAUUGCUCAGUGCUCCCAUAAAUAUACAUUUAUAAUUUUCAUUUGCCACAUGGUAAACUGAAAAAUACAGACUAUAUUAAAAAGAAACUGCAUGAUUUUUUUUCAAAAAUUCAAAGCAUAUUUAAAUAAUAUAUAAAUUAAAUGCCCUCCUCUCUUCCAAUUCUGUCCCUAUAGUUUUCCUCUAUUAAGUGAACUACAUGCAUUCUUUUAGUGGAUAGAUGCACACAAACACACAAGCCAUUAUGGGGAAGGAUCCACGUGUGUGGCCAUAUUGUAACACAUUUUUCUGCAAAUCACCUCUUUCAUUUAACAGCCCUUAUUCAAUGGCCUUUUUCUUUUUCAGUAGUACAUACACAUCUGUGUCAUUUGUUGAAUGACGACAUGAAUGUUUUGUAGAUAAAAUAUAAUUAAAUGUUUUAAGCAUUUCUCACUCAUAGAUAUUUAUGUUAGCACCAAAUUUCUGUGCAAUGAACCUCCCUAUAUAUCAGUAAUUUUGCAUUUGUCUAUAA